CGAUAAGCGUUCAUGAACUUCAUGACCCUCCCCACCGCAGGUCAUUUGGCUAUUGCAGAGCUCUUCCCAAUUGGCAACAGGCUGCUGCAUUCCAUUUAAACCCUUCAAAUAAAUAGUCUAAACUCUAAACGUAGGCCAUCACCGACAAAAACUGCGCUGUAGUAGGCCUAGCCACACAAUCCUGGAAAUUGUAGUCCGGCGUAGGCUAGUGACUGAUGAAGCAAGCAUUACGGGGAGAAAGGUUUUGGGUUUAAGGAGCUUCAGUCAAAGCACCACGAUUCCUUCCCCUCUGGUAAACUGCCAAGCGCCUCCACUCAUCUUAUUCAUUUACAUACGGGGAUCAUCCAAUUAAAAACGAAUCGAUGCUGACAAAGCGUUUCUAUUUUACGUUGCUUACAUAGCCUCUCCGAAAAUGUGUCAAAAAAAAAAACGUGGACAAAAUGUGUUGCUGUAUUUUAAACGGGUAGAGGCCUAGACCUACUGUAGAUUGGUCAAGCACACUAUUGUGGACUACUCCAUUCAAUGUGUAUACCUACAAGCAACAAAGUAACGCAGGUCAGUGGAGUGAUUGGUUCCAGUCAGCCCACCGGGUUCCGUGCAGUUUGAGUUAUGCAGUGAGGUUAAUUAUCUACACAAUGGCGGAUACUUUAAUGUCACGCGCUGAGGGGAUUCUGCGGGUCGUUUCAAGCUCCUCGUUUAUUCGGUGUGUUUUACUGCGUAUGUUAAGAUCAGCAUCGUCUUGCCUCAUUGAAUCACCGGUGCUGUGCCUGUCAAGUGGAGGGAUGGCGCUGAGGUGGGAUUCCACGCUGGUGUUGGCCGCCAUGCUUCUGGUUUGCUGUGGCGCCGAUCCCACUGACAUUCUCUACCGGAUGCUCGAGGAGCAGCCGCCCAACACGUUGAUCGGCAGCCUGGCAUCGGACGAGGGCCUGCCCGACUCAGGCCACCUGUACAAGCUGGAGGUGGGCGCCCCUUACCUGCGCGUGGAUGGCAAGACGGGAGACAUUUACACCACAGAGGUCCCCAUCGACCGUGAGACACUGCGGGACUGCCGCAACCUGCUCGAGGGCGACAAGUGCUUCCUGGAGUUCGAGGUGUCCAUCACGGACCUGAAGCAGGGCCAGGGACCGCGGCUGAUUGAGGGCCGCAUCGAGGUGCAGGACGUCAAUGACAACACACCCCAGUUCACCUCGCCCAUCCUCAUGCUGUCCAUCCCAGAGAACACACACAUCGGGGCACUCUUCUCCAUCCCCAUGGCCAGCGACAAGGACUCGGGCCACAACGGCGUAGCCGAGUACUCGCUUAGCGCCGGGCCUGACGCCGACCAGCUCUUCAACCUGCAGGUGGCCGAGGACACAGACGAGAAGCAGCCGCAGCUCAUCGUCAUGGGCAACCUGGACCGUGAGCAGAAAGACUCGUACGAUCUCAACAUCCGUGUGGUGGAUGGGGGCACACCGCCGCGAGCCAGCAGCGCCCUGCUGAGGGUGACCGUCACCGACCAGAACGACAACGCACCCAAGUUUGAGAGGAGCCACUAUGAGGCUGAGCUGGCUGAGAACAGCCCUGUGGGACACUCAGUCUUGCAGGUGAAAGCCAACGACGCUGACAUGGGUACCAACGGGGAGAUCGACUAUAGCCUGCACCAGGCCUCCGAUGCCGUCCAGAGGUUGCUACGCAUUGACCGCUCCACAGGGAUCAUCUACGUCAAGGGGCUGGUGGACCGCGAGGAGGAGAGCUUCCUCAAGUUCUUCGUGGUGGCCAAGGACCGCGGCCCCAACUCCAAGAACUCCAAAGUCCUGGUGACCAUCAACGUCAAGGACCAGAACGAUAAUGCACCCGCCAUCGAGAUCCGUGGCAUCGGCCUGGUCACCCACCACGACGGCGUGGCCAACAUCUCAGAGGACAUGCCCAUCGGCACGCCUGUGGCCCUGGUGCAGGUGUCGGAUCGUGAUGAAGGGGAAAAUGCUGUGGUCACCUGUGUGGUGGCCGGGGACGUCCCCUUCCAGCUGCGGCCCGCCAGCGAGUCAGCCAACGACCGCAAGAGGAAAUACUUCCUGCAGACCACGACCCUGCUAGACUACGAGCGCAUCAAGGACUACAGGAUUGAAAUAGUAGCGGUGGACUCCGGUAACCCUGCACUGUCCAGCACAAACUCCCUGAAGGUGCAAGUCACCGACAUGAAUGACAAUGCCCCUGUAUUCUCCCCCACCCUGUUUGAGGUGGACUUUGCAGAGGAGAAUCAGCCAGGUGAUAAGGUCCUGGAUGUGGUGGCCACGGACGCGGACAGUGGGUCCAACGCAGAGCUGACCUACAGCAUCAUCAUGGACUCGACCACUAAGGGGCUCUUUGAGAUCGACCCCAAAACGGGAGAGGUGCACGUGAGGAAUACGCUGGACCGUGAGCACAGAGAGCAGUACGAGUUCCACGUGGCAGCGGCCGAUAAGGGCUCGCCUAGCCUGAGGGGGACAGCCACGGUAGUGGUCAAGGUGCUGGACCGUAACGACAACGAACCCAAGUUCAUGUUGAGCGGCUACAGCUUCUCCGUUUUGGAGAACAUGCCUCCGCUCAGCCCUGUUGGCAUGGUGACGGUCAUCGAUGCAGAUAAGGGCGAGAACGCCAGGGUUCGGCUCUCGGUGGAGCCCGACAAUGGCAAGUUUGUCAUCCAGAAUGGCACAGGCACUAUCCUUUCCAGCAUCUCCUUUGACCGUGAGAAGGAGAGCACAUACACUUUCCGCCUCAAGGCUGUGGACGCCGGUGACCCUCCCAGGUCCUCCUACGUGGGUGUGACCAUCAACGUCUUGGACGAGAACGAUAACUCCCCCUACGUCACCAAGCCCUCUAACUCCUCCUACAAGUACCUCCCACCUCUCACGACCCCCGAGACACGCGUGGAAGUGGUGGAGGCUGAAGACAUCGACACAGGACCCAACGCCGAGCUGGUCUUCAGCAUUACCGGCGGGAACCCCUACGGACUGUUUCACAUCUCGCCCACCAAUGGGGAGAUAACCCUGGCCCAGGAGUUCACCCGCAAGCACAACGGGCUCCACCGUCUGGUGGUGAAGGUGAGCGACAAAGGCAAGCCACCACGCCACACCACCGCCCUGGUCCACAUCUUCGUCAACGAGACCAUGGGCAACAUCACCCUGAUUGAGUCUCUGGUGGGUCACAGCCUCUACACUCCUCUGGACAGAGACAUUGCCGGGGACCCCAACUACGCGCUGGCCCAGCGCAGCAAUAUCCUGUACGGCAGCCUAGCGGGCAUCGCCGGAGUCAUCCUGGUCAUCGUGGUGGUGGUGGUGAUCCGCCAUCGCAUGCAGAAGGACACCAAGAGCGGCUACCAGGCGGGCAAGAAGGAGAGUAAGGACCUGUACGCCCCCAAAGCAGGGCCCAAGAAUGGCAAGGGCAAAAAGAGCAAGAAGGGCAAGGUGCCCAAGCCCACCAAGCCACUGGAGGAGGAUGAAGAGGCCAGCCUCCAGAAGGGCCUCAACUUCAACCUCAUAAACGAUAGUGUCAAUGACAGUCCCCGGAUCCACCUGCCCCUCAACUACCCCCCGGGCAGCCCCGACCUGGGCAGACACUACCGCUCCAACUCCCCACUGCCCUCCAUCCAGCUGCAGCCCCAGUCCCCCUCUGCCUCCAAGAAGCACCAAGCCGUUCAGGACCUGCCUGCCACCAACACCUUUGUGGGCACAGGUGACAACAACUCUACAGGCUCCGAUCAAUAUUCGGAUUACAGCUACAAGGCAAACCCGCCGAAAUACAGCAACAAACAGGUAGGCGACUACUUCCCCACAGCAGGGUACAACAGGAACAUUAUAUGGACCGACGAGGUUUGGUAGAAUUUGGACUGAAUCACAGAGAUUUGCUACCAAAGCUGCACUGAUCACUCAUUCUCUCACCGCGAUCACGCCACCACCUUUCCCAAAUCAGGGCAGGCUUGCCUUUUCAUCUCUCAUUUUUAUUUUUUGUUAUGUUUAUGUUUGUCAUUUAAAAAAAUCCUCACCUUAAAAUGGACUCACUACACUUUCACGCUAAGAAGGAAACAUUUAAUUUAUCUCAACCUUUUGAGGGGUUUAAAUGAAGGAGCUUAUGUUUUUUAAAUGAAGGAGCUUAUGUUUUUGUGUUGUUUUUAUUUUACAGGAGGCACAUCUUUGGUUGAGCACCUACACUGCCCCACACAGAGUCAUUCCGUAUAUUUUAAUGUGUUUAGAGAAAUCAUUUGGUUUUAAAGUCCCUUUUUAUGGCAGGAUUCUAUUUCCUUUCACACUGAGUUUGUUCAUUUGAGUGUGACAAAGUGCUGGUGAAUUCCUUAGACACUUUUAUUGUCUGUUGGCUACCACUGGAGAGUACAAGCUUGGCCUAACUGCACUUUUUUUAUGUUUUCACUUCAAAAUAAUUAAAAUCAUUCACCAAAGGGUAGAUAGCCAAGGGGAAAGAAGGGAGUGGGGGAAGGUAAGCAAAGAAGACAUAUAGAAAUUGAAAAGCACACUUAACGACAAGGGAAGGUCCUUUCAGACACCUUGUGUUAUUUUGAAGCCUGCCACUGCACAUCCUGUCAGGCCAUUGAAAAAGGACUCUUCAUUUACUGGGGCUUAAGUCAAUUGUUUGCACAGAUUAAUGGCAGGUAAUUCCAGCCCCGCUCGCCUGUACACAGAGAGUGCCUUGCUUUAUUUAACGUACAUAUGUGGGGUGGUUAAAUUCAUGCUCAUAAGUAGUGUGGUAUGGCACCUUUAUGAGUAAUGGACUUAAGGCCCCGGCAAGCUGUGAAUAAUGUCACAUCCACUGUGAAACGAGAGGCUCUGAAAAGAAAGAACAGGAGACCGAGGUUGAUUGCAUUUUGCAGUAGUAUCUGUUGGAGAGUAUACCAAAAAAACAAGAUUGCUUUGUUCGUAUGGCCUCUUUAAAAUGAUUUGGAGACAAUCGUAUGAUGUAGUAAUAUGCAAGUUGUACAUAUGUGAAUAACAAACUAUGUUUGCUGAUGUUGUAUUUUUAGUUUUACUCAUCAUGUGUUUGUUCUGAUUGCAACAUGUCCUGUGUGUGAUUUGUACUCAAAUGGAGAACAUUCAUUUUUUGUGAGUAACUGAGCCACUCAGUUGUCCUUGUUAGUGAUGCCUGCAUUCACCAACCCAAUUCUCUAACAAUCAAAUUACACACACAAACACACACACACACACAUUUGAAUACAGGAGGUAGUACUGUUAUUGUCAUGCUUCAAGUGAGCGUCAUAAUGUUUGCUACACUAGAGUACCCAGGAGGCAUUGCAGUUCAGUGUUCCAUGUUGCUUGAGUUCAGCUGUAUUUAAAGCUGCAGUUAUCCCCAUUUUGACGAGACAUUUUCAUUUUGCUUCUGUUUUUGUUUUAUCCAUUUCUUUGUUUGUAAAAAUAUUGUACCCUGGGAGAAAAUUUGUUCCGUUUUUUUUUUACGACUAAAUCCAAUUUUAUUUCAAUAAAAACGUUGUUAAAAUGGUGAAAUCA
This 5471-nucleotide long non-coding RNA is filed under the name Salmo salar (Atlantic salmon). RNAcentral describes it as "lncRNA (ENSSSAG00000002398.2)". Lineage: Eukaryota; Metazoa; Chordata; Actinopteri; Salmoniformes; Salmonidae. The record is from RNAcentral.